Molecule: unclassified non-coding RNA, 184 nt
Filed under: Glomeraceae sp.
Lineage: Eukaryota; Fungi; Glomeromycota; Glomeromycetes; Glomerales; Glomeraceae
Description: partial contains 5.8S ribosomal RNA and internal transcribed spacer 2
Rfam family: 5.8S ribosomal RNA (bases 1-71)
Source: RNAcentral
GUGAAUCAUCAAAUUUUUGAACGCAAAUUGCACUCCCUGGUAUUCCGGAGAGUAUGCCUGUUUGAGGGUCAGUAUAAAUAAAAAUCGAGGUGUUGCUUAUGGUGACGCCAUCGGAAUUGGGCCAUUUUUGUCUUUGGGUUUUUUUAAGGGCCUUAAAUUGAUAAUUUUUUGAUCUCAGACGGAC